This 253-nucleotide ribosomal RNA is filed under the name uncultured bacterium. RNAcentral's name for it is "partial 16S ribosomal RNA". It matches the Rfam family "Bacterial small subunit ribosomal RNA", at positions 524 to 776 of the family's 1533-position model. The record is from RNAcentral.
UACGUAGGGGGCAAGCGUUGUCCGGAAUUAUUGGGCGUAAAGAGCGUGUAGGCGGCCAGAUAAGUCCGCUGUGAAAUCUCGAGGCUCAACUUCGAGCUGUCGGUGGAAACUAUCUGGCUAGAGUCCGGAAGAGGAGAAUGGAAUUCCUGGUGUAGCGGUGAAAUGCGCAGAUAUCAGGAAGAACACCCGUGGCUAAGGCGGUUCUCUAGUACGGUACUGACGCUGAGACGCGAAAGCGUGGGGAGCGAACAGG